GAUCAUUCCCCUGCAAUUUCACUACUCAAUUCACUGUCAUUUAGGAGUUAAAUCACUUUGUUUCUGUUUAUGUAGCCCUAGCCACACCUCCCCUGGCUAUGACUGACAGAGCCUGCAUGAAAAAAAAACUGGUUUCACUUUCAAACAGAUGUAAUUUACCUUAAAUAAUUGUAUCUCAAUCUCUAAAUUGAACUUUAAUCACAUACAGGAGGCUCUUGCAGGGUCUAGCAAGCUAUUAACAUAGCAGGGGAUAAGAAAAUCUUAAUUAAACAGAACUUGCAAUAAAGAAAGCCUAAAUAGGGCUCUCUUUACAGGAAGUGUUUAUGGAAGGCUGUGCAAGUCACAUGCAGGGAGGUGUGACUAGGGUUCA
This is a non-coding RNA of Pelobates cultripes (western spadefoot toad), 370 nucleotides long. The record is from the annotation of a GenBank genome assembly. Lineage: Eukaryota; Metazoa; Chordata; Amphibia; Anura; Pelobatidae.